Long non-coding RNA from Balaenoptera ricei (Rice's whale), 1612 nucleotides. RefSeq lists it as uncharacterized. The transcript is spliced from 2 exons. NCBI's taxonomy places the organism in Eukaryota, Metazoa, Chordata, Mammalia, Artiodactyla, Balaenopteridae. The record is from RefSeq and is a predicted model, not a curated record.
UCGUGACACGGGCCCCGGGUCCUGCGAGUGACGCUCUCGCUCUGCUUAUCCUCCCGCACUGGCGGGAGAGACGGUGGCUCCAAUUUCUGGCUCCGCGGGCGGCGGGCGGCGGGCGGCUCUCUGGACAGCCCGGGGGUCUGGGCGUCGUGGUGGAUCCGGAAUAGGAAGGGAGCGUACUCCCUGGGUCCUUGGCCUCCACCCAGGCCGGGAAGGAAUCAGGGCGGCCUCCACCGAGAGGAACCAAAAUGGAAAUGUUACCGAACCGAACUUGGGUCUGCUCGCCCGCUGCACAGCAAAGCCAAUCUACUGACACCGGGUUGUGGUGAAGGAAAGUACAGCGUUUAUUUGCAGGGUGCCAAGCAAGGAAAACAGGCAGCUCGUGUUCAAAAGACCCGAACUCCCCGAUGGCUUUCAGGGAAGGGUUUUUUAAGGCCAACAUUUGGGGCGAGGGUUGCAGCUCGUGGACUUUCUUCUGAUUGGUUGGUGGUGAGGUAACAGGGUGAUUUUUUGGGAUUCUUAAUCAUUAACCUUUUGGUUCCAACCAGUCUGGGGUCUGCCUUCUUGUUAGCAUGUAGUCACCAUCCUCCACUGGGUGGGGGGGCGGUCUUAGUUUCUGCAGAAAAACUCAAAGAUAUGCUUCAGAUUGUUAUGUAUAUCCCUUGAGGAGGAACUAGGACUCUGUUUUACCACUGAAAUAUUGUUUAAGCUAUCAUUACUUUUCUUGCCUAACUGCUUUUCCUUUGUUUCUGCAUUCCCUCACUUCCCUAAUUCGUAACUGUUUGAAUCUGCUUUUUGGAACCAGGGAAGGCCUAGGAGACUAAAUCCUUUUUCUACAAACAAGAAAUGGGGGACAUGGAGGGGCUUUUGUACCUGGGAGGGCCCCACAGGGUCCUGCUUGGUCUCAGUCCCCCCUUUUCUUUGAUACUUCUCAAUCCUAAAGGGAGCAGGGGUGGGACAAGAAAGGGAAUAAAGUUUUGGAUAGAGAGGUUAAUCAUAAACUCGUCAGGGGAACUUGGUCUUAGGGGUACUUGGUUUCAGAAACUCCUUGCGGGUAAAUCCUGAUGUGUUUAUGAAAAUAUGAAAAAAAUAAGACUUGGAACUCCAGCUGUCCUAUCCACAAAAAGCCCUCAAUGAAACAAAAAAGUCUAUCUUGACCUUAUAUCAAACAUGUAUUCAUUUGUAUGUUUUAAGUUAGAUAAAAUAUUAAGGUUAUGUGUGUAUGUAUUUUAAAAAUCAUCUUAUUGGCCAAUUUUUAAAAAGUUAACUCACCAACUACUGGGUCUUAUCAGAUAAGAGGGCUUUUAUCUUACACUGAUAAAAUGAAAUAGUAUGAAAUAGUAUGCAAUCUUUAAACAUUCUGUUUGGAAUUAUAUAUAAUGUCAUAUAGAGGUGCUCAUCAUAUAUGGUUAAAUGAAAGAGGAGACUAUAGAAUAGAAUGGGUAGUACCAUUCCAUUUUUGUAAAAAACAUGUUUAGAACAAAGAAGAAUAUAUGGCAAAUGUAAAUGGUGGGUAGUGGAAUUACAGCUGAUUUUAUGCUCUUUAUUUCUUAAUUUUUAUAAUUGUACUAUAAUUUUGUUUUACUUUCAUAAUAAAAAUUAAUAAAUUAAUAAA